This 943-nucleotide ribosomal RNA is filed under the name Lentistoma bipolare. RNAcentral describes it as "SSU rRNA". It matches the Rfam family "Eukaryotic small subunit ribosomal RNA", at positions 109 to 1060 of the family's 1831-position model. Lineage: Eukaryota; Fungi; Ascomycota; Dothideomycetes; Pleosporales; Lophiostomataceae. The record is from RNAcentral.
GUUAUCGUUUAUUUGAUAGUACCUUACUACUUGGAUAACCGUGGUAAUUCUAGAGCUAAUACAUGCUAAAAACCCUGACUUCGGAAAGGGUGUAUUUAUUAGAUAAAAAACCAAUGCCCUCCGGGGCUCUUUGGUGAUUCAUGAUAACUUAACGGAUCGCAUGGCCUUGCGCCGGCGACGGUUCAUUCAAAUUUCUGCCCUAUCAACUUUCGAUGGUAAGGUAUUGGCUUACCAUGGUUUCAACGGGUAACGGGGAAUUAGGGUUCGAUUCCGGAGAGGGAGCCUGAGAAACGGCUACCACAUCCAAGGAAGGCAGCAGGCGCGCAAAUUACCCAAUCCCGACACGGGGAGGUAGUGACAAUAAAUACUGAUACAGGGCUCUUUUGGGUCUUGUAAUCGGAAUGAGUACAAUUUAAACCUCUUAACGAGGAACAAUUGGAGGGCAAGUCUGGUGCCAGCAGCCGCGGUAAUUCCAGCUCCAAUAGCGUAUAUUAAAGUUGUUGCAGUUAAAAAGCUCGUAGUUGAAUCUUGGGCCUGGCUGGCCGGUCCGCCUCACCGCGUGUACUGGUCUGGCCGGGCCUUUCCUUCUGGAGAACCUCAUGCCCUUCAUUGGGUGUGUUGGGGAACCAGGACUUUUACUUUGAAAAAAUUAGAGUGUUCAAAGCAGGCCUUUGCUCGAAUACGUUAGCAUGGAAUAAUAGAAUAGGACGUGCGGUCCUAUUUUGUUGGUUUCUAGGACCGCCGUAAUGAUUAAUAGGGAUAGUCGGGGGCAUCAGUAUUCAAUUGUCAGAGGUGAAAUUCUUGGAUUUAUUGAAGACUAACUACUGCGAAAGCAUUUGCCAAGGAUGUUUUCAUUAAUCAGUGAACGAAAGUUAGGGGAUCGAAGACGAUCAGAUACCGUCGUAGUCUUAACCGUAAACUAUGCCGACUAGGGAUCGGGCGA